Molecule: small nucleolar RNA, 133 nt
Filed under: Dasypus novemcinctus (nine-banded armadillo)
Lineage: Eukaryota; Metazoa; Chordata; Mammalia; Cingulata; Dasypodidae
Description: Small nucleolar RNA SNORA1 (ENSDNOG00000028531.1)
Rfam family: Small nucleolar RNA SNORA1
About the family: ACA1 is a member of the H/ACA class of snoRNA that guide the sites of modification of uridines to pseudouridines.
Source: RNAcentral
AGCUUCAUUCCAUGAGAAUGGGCACAGUUGAUCAUGGUGUCCAAAAUUGAUAAAUGUGGCUAAAUUGAGACACAGGUUAUGCUUCCGUCACAGUAAAUUUAUUGCAGUAGUGACGAAGAGAUCUGUAACAUUU